AGAGUUUGAUCCUGGCUCAGAUUGAACGCUGGCGGCAUGCCUUACACAUGCAAGUCGAACGGUAACGCGGGGCAACCUGGCGACGAGUGGCGAACGGGUGAGUAAUAUAUCGGAACGUGCCCAGUAGUGGGGGAUAGCCCGGCGAAAGCCGGAUUAAUACCGCAUGAGACCUGAGGGUGAAAGCGGGGGACUCGCAAGAGCCUCGCGCUAUUGGAGCGGCCGAUAUCAGAUUAGCUAGUUGGUGGGGUAAAGGCCUACCAAGGCGACGAUCUGUAGCUGGUCUGAGAGGACGACCAGCCACACUGGGACUGAGACACGGCCCAGACUCCUACGGGAGGCAGCAGUGGGGAAUUUUGGACAAUGGGCGCAAGCCUGAUCCAGCCAUGCCGCGUGCGGGAAGAAGGCCUUCGGGUUGUAAACCGCUUUUGUCAGGGAAGAAACGCUCCGGGCUAAUACCCUGGGGUAAUGACGGUACCUGAAGAAUAAGCACCGGCUAACUACGUGCCAGCAGCCGCGGUAAU
Molecule: ribosomal RNA, 521 nt
Filed under: uncultured bacterium
Lineage: Bacteria
Description: bacterial SSU rRNA
Rfam family: Bacterial small subunit ribosomal RNA
Source: RNAcentral